This 448-nucleotide ribosomal RNA is filed under the name uncultured bacterium. RNAcentral describes it as "bacterial SSU rRNA". It matches the Rfam family "Bacterial small subunit ribosomal RNA", at positions 355 to 825 of the family's 1533-position model. The record is from RNAcentral.
UGGGGAAUAUUGGACAAUGGGCGAAAGCCUGAUCCAGCAAUGCCGCGUGAGUGAUGAGGGCCUUAGGGUUGUAAAGCUCUUUUUACCAGGGAUGAUAAUGACAGUACCUGGAGAAUAAGCUCCGGCUAACUCCGUGCCAGCAGCCGCGGUAAUACGGAGGGAGCUAGCGUUGUUCGGAAUUACUGGGCGUAAAGCGUACGUAGGCGGUGACUCAAGUCAGAGGUGAAAGCCUGGAGCUCAACUCGGAACGGUCAGAUGAUACUGCUUUGCUAGAGUGCAGAAGGGGCAAUCGGAAUUCUUGGUGUAGCGGUGAAAUGCGUAGAUAUCAAGAGGAACACCUGAGGUGAAGACGGGUUGCUGGGCUGACACUGACGCUGAGGCGCGAAAGCCAGGGGAGCAAACGGGAUUAGAUACCCUAGUAGUCCCUGAGCGGGCUGGCAAGGCGCAU